GCCUUCUCCAUGGAGUGUGGACAGACAUGACACAGUGCGGGCUCCUGGCCUGGGCCUUAGAAGGCCUCGUGUAUUUCUGCUCAACUCUCUGGGAGCUUCUGACCUUCACCUUGAGAAGAACACACCCCAGGCUGGGGGACCGUGGGAUCCAGGCCCUCCUCCACCGGCCACCGCAGUCACCACUGCUCCGAAGCCAUAGGAUGUCCAAGGGCCUUCUAACCCCACAGCCAUGCAGUGCCCCAAGCAGAAGUGAGAACACUUUUCUUCCUCCUUCUCUGUCUCACUAGAAUCCCAGAGACGUCUAAGGAAGAUUAGCCCUGAGCUAACAUCUGCUGCCAAUCCUCCUCUUUUCGCUGAGGAAGACUGGCCCCAAGCUAAUGUCCGUGCCCAUCUUCCACUACUUUAUAUGUGGGAUGCCUGCAACAGCACGGCUUAACAAUCAGUGCAUUGGUCUGCACCCCGGAUCUGAACCAGCAAACCCCG
RNAcentral lists this long non-coding RNA (483 nucleotides) under Equus caballus (horse). RNAcentral describes it as "lncRNA (ENSECAG00000059509.1)". The record is from RNAcentral. Lineage: Eukaryota; Metazoa; Chordata; Mammalia; Perissodactyla; Equidae.